UACAGAGGGUGCGAGCGUUAAUCGGAUUUACUGGGCGUAAAGGGCGCGUAGGCGGUGAGAUGUGUGUGAUGUGAAAGCCCCGGGCUCAACCUGGGAAGUGCAUCGCAAACUGUCUGACUGGAGUAUAUGAGAGGGUGGCGGAAUUUCCGGUGUAGCGGUGAAAUGCGUAGAGAUCGGAAGGAACGUCGAUGGCGAAGGCAGCCACCUGGCAUAAUACUGACGCUGAGGCGCGAAAGCGUGGGGAUCGAACAGG
RNAcentral lists this ribosomal RNA (253 nucleotides) under uncultured bacterium. RNAcentral's name for it is "partial 16S ribosomal RNA". It matches the Rfam family "Bacterial small subunit ribosomal RNA", at positions 524 to 776 of the family's 1533-position model. RNAcentral also lists the same sequence under 1 other name. The record is from RNAcentral.